Alligator mississippiensis (American alligator) is the source of this 909-nucleotide RNA transcript. It is a transcript of the gene named alpha-1-acid glycoprotein 1, with no coding region annotated. NCBI's taxonomy places the organism in Eukaryota, Metazoa, Chordata, Crocodylia, Alligatoridae. The transcript is spliced from 7 exons. The record is from RefSeq and is a predicted model, not a curated record.
UUCCUGACCCAUGUACCCAGAUUUCCCCAACACAACAAGACAGCUGAUCAGCAACCUCAGCUGUGCAAAAAAUAACAUUUAUAAAUACAAAUCCUGGAGCCAGGCUGAGAGGAUUCAGUUGGAGGGUUUCAACCUGCAUUCUCUCACCUGUCUUCAAGAGAAGCCAUGGUACUGGGCUGCAUGGUAGCUGUGCUCAAUUUAUUGCCUCUCCUCCGUGCUAACCCCCUGCAUUGUGAUUUCCAAGUUCCACAAAUCCCAGACAACACUACAGGCUCCAAGUUGUUGGGGAAAUGGUUCUACGUGGCUGGAGCCUCCCAGUUCCCCCUUGACUGGCUGGAGAUGACACUGAUUGAUAAUGGUUACCUCCAGGUGGACCCAAAUGAGCAGGGGCAGGAGUUAUUCAUCAACCAGCACAUCUCAGCAAUGGAUGAAUGUCUCACAAGCAAUUCAACUUAUUUUGAAGUCACUGUUGAUCAUGUAACACUAAUCAAGAAUGUUUGUUCAGGGAGGAGUACAGAAACCAACCCAUCUAAAAUUUAACAGUCCAGAACCGACGUACCGUGGGGAAGCUUAUGAACAGCAGUUCUGAAGACAUCUUACUAAUUCAAAUUGAAAUACAAAAGGAGAAGAACUACACAGGAUUGUAUCUAUACGCCCGGAAUCGACCCCCAAGUAAAGUUCACUUGAAUGAACUCAGGAACCAUGCUGAAUGUCUGGGCCUCAGUGAAGACAAAAUAGUUUAUGCACCGUGGAAGAAGGAUCCCUGUCCAAAGGAAGAAACCAAGCCAAGCAGCUCCGAAGACCAGGAGCCCCCAGCUGCAGUCACAGCUUCAUUCCAGGGAUCAUUAUGAGCCAAAACAACUGCUUUAUCGCCUAUUCGGUAAAUAAAGUUUUUCUUCUUUGUUUGAA